UAGUCUCGUGUCUUCAAGACCACUGCUGUAAUUAUUCGUCGUAGGAUAAACCAUGGAGCUAUAAGACAUGGUAUAUAACAACUCCUUGAAUAAACGAAACAAAAUUGCACCCCUGCGAAACGUGUGGUGUUUAGUUUUGCUUUUUGAAAAAUGUUAGAUAGAUGAUAGAAUAACACAAAUGAUAUGAAAACUUCAUAAACUUCUUGUCUUAUUACAAUUCGCCGACCAUCAUUUUUAAAGAUAUUUCUUGCUUUCUUUUAUUUAUUUUUUUUAUAUAAGACAGUUAUCCUCAACAUAACGUCUACACUGUAAAUGGAGAGAACACCGGACGCGUUCAUCUGUAUUCAAUUUUGGAACACUACGUGUUAUACUCUGAACACCGAUGUUUAGUACAAGUGUUCUGUGUACGAUUGGAACGCUUGAUUUGAACGCCAGCAUUCAAUAUUCGAUCGCCUUCCAAGAAAAGUCUAGACAUAUUUUACUGUUUUGAGUUUUAAUGAACUAGGGGUCACAUCUUGAGCAGGUGCAAUUGGCUGCUUAUUCAAACAAUGAAACUGUCUGAUAGCUCUACAUAAAGCGUAUAACGAACAAAAGUUGAAACAAAGUUUGAUCGGAAUAAGAAGGGCAUAUGUCAUUUCCAGACUCCUAAAGUGAUCACUGAGGUUGUUAAAGAACAGGACUUUGAGGUCAUAUUGGAGGUAAAAGAAAACACUCCUCCAAAAUUAGUGAUAUUUACCAGAAAUGACAAAGCAGAGACAGCCUAUUUAGUAGGAAAUUGUACUGCCACUAGGUGCAAUAGGGAGAGUACAGUGUUAUUUGCAGUUCAGUUAUUUGCAACAUUCUGUGUUUUCGACAUUGAAUAUCAUUCUUAAGCAAUGUCUUUAGGAUUCUUGCAGCAAUUUGUAUUUGAAGAACAGUAUACAAAUGAAAGUUAAGAAAAUCAUUUUUUUCUGUGAGAAGUAUAGAACAGUAUUUAAAUAAAUGAGUUACAUGGUUAAGGUGUUGGGAGGAUAAUAAAAUUAGCAGUCACUCCUUCUGAAAUAUCAUUCUGGUUUGUAUUUUGCUGAAAUCAAAUGCAGCAGUUCAAGAUAGAGAAUAGUUUUCAGUAUUAAAUGCUAAUACCACUGGUCUCUUCUGAGCUGCAGCAGAUAGAUUGACAUUUUUCAAAUGAUAUUACUGGGUUUUUCAAAAUAAUGUUUUUGGUACUGAGCAGGGACAUAUUUUACAAAAUGGACAAGUUUAUUGUUACCGAACAAGUUGAUUGACAUUCUCAAAAUGUUACUAUUAGUUCUGAGCAGACAUGUUGGUAUUUUCUAAAUGCAAUUGGGACUGAGCAGGUUUUUAACAUUUUACAAAUGAAAUUGUAUAUAUAUAAUAUUGCAUAUUACAGUAAUUCAUAAAUAAAUGUGUACUUUCUUAUGUUCUGAGCUGUAUGCAAGAAUAAAAUAAUAGUAUAUCUUUCUAUAUUAUUGUAUAAGUCUGUCAAGGUUAUGUCUGGUUGAAAUGCUGGUUUUGUGCCACUGAUGAAAUAAUUUUGUAACUAGUAUUUCCAACCUUACCUGAUUUAUUUGCUUUGGGAAAAAGUCAUAGUCAUGUGCCAGUGUCUUUUUGUUAAAAAAAAUAUUCUGAAUUUUUCUUAAGUACCAUUUUAUCUUUGAAACUUGGAUUUUGACCAUCGUCUAUUUGCAGGAGUACAAAAUUCUGUCAAUAUUUUUUUCAUUAUGGUAAUUUUUUACACAGUUUCAAAAAAUUUUGGGACAGGGAACACUUUUACAGGAAAUUAUGUUCAAAGCAUAAUAUCUUCUUUUAUGUUUUUAUGACAGUUUUUUUUUCAGGUAUGUUUAAAAUACAACGAAAGAACAAUAUACAUGUACAUAAAAAGCUUGUAAAAUUGUCAGGUUAAGUAGUUGCACAUGAUGUUGGUAGUUUUUCUUCAAAAUGUUUUUUUGAAAUAAAGUUUUUUUUUCAGCAGUAAAUGUUAUUAUGUAUAACAAAUAUCCCUUACAAAAACAUGUCUCUUAUCCAGUGUUCAAAACUGAAUGCAGUAUGUUCAACUAAUGCUCAUAUUCUUAACGUCCAUGUCUUUGAACAUGUUCUAGGCGUUCAAUAUCUGUUGCAUUGGAAUUGAACACGUCCGGAGUUAAACAAAAGAACACCUGGGUGUUCACAGACUGUUCAUUUACGGAACUGUAGGUGUUACCAAUCUGAACACUAACAUUAAAAAAUAGAACAUGUCUGGUGUUAAAAAAGAACACCUGGCUGUUCAUAAGGUGUUCCACAACAGAACAGCUAACUGUUCACCGGGCGUUCUUUCUUUGAGCAGCUAGUGUUAAAAAUUUGAACACUAGUAUUAGGAUUUUGAACGCAAAGACGCGUUCAAUAUCUGUUGCAAAUUGGCGUUCAAAGCGUGUUCAGUUCCUUAACACUUACAUUUAC
This is a long non-coding RNA of Mercenaria mercenaria, 2436 nucleotides long. RefSeq lists it as uncharacterized. The record is from RefSeq and is a predicted model, not a curated record. The transcript is spliced from 3 exons. Lineage: Eukaryota; Metazoa; Mollusca; Bivalvia; Venerida; Veneridae.